This 72-nucleotide ribosomal RNA is filed under the name Mesodinium pulex. RNAcentral describes it as "partial Eukaryotic large subunit ribosomal RNA". Lineage: Eukaryota; Ciliophora; Litostomatea; Cyclotrichida; Mesodiniidae. The record is from RNAcentral.
AAUCAGCGGGGGAAGAAGACCCUGUUGAGCUUGACUCUAGUCCGACUUUGAAAAAUGACUUAGGAGCUUCUG